RNAcentral lists this ribosomal RNA (1521 nucleotides) under metagenome. RNAcentral's name for it is "bacterial SSU rRNA". It matches the Rfam family "Bacterial small subunit ribosomal RNA". The record is from RNAcentral.
AGAGUUUGAUCAUGGCUCAGAUUGAACGCUGGCGGCAGGCCUAACACAUGCAAGUCGAACGGUAACAGGAAGCAGCUUGCUGCUUCGCUGACGAGUGGCGGACGGGUGAGUAAUGUCUGGGAAGCUGCCUGAUGGAGGGGGAUAACUACUGGAAACGGUAGCUAAUACCGCAUAAUGUCGCAAGACCAAAGAGGGGGACCUUCGGGCCUCUUGCCAUCGGAUGUGCCCAGAUGGGAUUAGCUUGUUGGUGGGGUGACGGCUCACCAAGGCGACGAUCCCUAGCUGGUCUGAGAGGAUGACCAGCCACACUGGAACUGAGACACGGUCCAGACUCCUACGGGAGGCAGCAGUGGGGAAUAUUGCACAAUGGGCGCAAGCCUGAUGCAGCCAUGCCGCGUGUAUGAAGAAGGCCUUCGGGUUGUAAAGUACUUUCAGCGGGGAGGAAGGGAGUAAAGUUAAUACCUUUGCUCAUUGACGUUACCCGCAGAAGAAGCACCGGCUAACUCCGUGCCAGCAGCCGCGGUAAUACGGAGGGUGCAAGCGUUAAUCGGAAUUACUGGGCGUAAAGCGCACGCAGGCGGUUUGUUAAGUCAGAUGUGAAAUCCCCGGGCUCAACCUGGGAACUGCAUCUGAUACUGGCAAGCUUGAGUCUCGUAGAGGGGGGUAGAAUUCCAGGUGUAGCGGUGAAAUGCGUAGAGAUCUGGAGGAAUACCGGUGGCGAAGGCGGCCCCCUGGACGAAGACUGACGCUCAGGUGCGAAAGCGUGGGGAGCAAACAGGAUUAGAUACCCUGGUAGUCCACGCCGUAAACGAUGUCGACUUGGAGGUUGUGCCCUUGAGGCGUGGCUUCCGGAGCUAACGCGUUAAGUCGACCGCCUGGGGAGUACGGCCGCAAGGUUAAAACUCAAAUGAAUUGACGGGGGCCCGCACAAGCGGUGGAGCAUGUGGUUUAAUUCGAUGCAACGCGAAGAACCUUACCUGGUCUUGACAUCCACGGAAGUUUUCAGAGAUGAGAAUGUGCCUUCGGGAACCGUGAGACAGGUGCUGCAUGGCUGUCGUCAGCUCGUGUUGUGAAUGUUGGGUUAAGUCCCGCAACGAGCGCAACCCUUAUCCUUUGUUGCCAGCGGUCCGGCCGGGAACUCAAAGGAGACUGCCAGUGAUAAACUGGAGGAAGGUGGGGAUGACGUCAAGUCAUCACGGCCCUUACGACCAGGGCUACACACGUGCUACAAUGGCGCAUACAAAGAGAAGCGACCUCGCGAGAGCAAGCGGACCUCAUAAAGUGCGUCGUAGUCCGGAUUGGAGUCUGCAACUCGACUCCAUGAAGUCGGAAUCGCUAGUAAUCGUGGAUCAGAAUGCCACGGUGAAUACGUUCCCGGGCCUUGUACACACCGCCCGUCACACCAUGGGAGUGGGUUGCAAAAGAAGUAGGUAGCUUAACCUUCGGGAGGGCGCUUACCACUUUGUGAUUCAUGACUGGGGUGAAGUCGGAACAAGGUAACCGUAGGGGAACCUGCGGUUG